GCUAACAAAUUAUAUUUCGACUUAUUCUUCACGAAGAGAGGUGAGCUAAAUAUAUAUACUUUUGGAGUGUGUUACGUUGCAUAGUAAUGAAUAAAUGUAUAUUUAGUGGUGAUAGGCCUUCCAUCCCUCUGGAUAACUUGUUGCGUAAAAAAAAUAUUAAGUAUUGGGGCAGACUAAUAAAGCUAAGCUUGUUAGUUAAUAUUAAUAUUAAAGAAUCUAUGUAGGUAUAGCGUAAUAGCUAGCUUAUACAAUAGUAAAUAUUAAGUUUAUGGUGUUAUAUAUGUUAUUAUGCUACCAUGUUUUAACUUUUUGGGAGAUAAUGUUAUUAUAAGUAAGUAAAGCAAACCUUCCUAAGGAACUCGGCAACAAAAUACCCAACUGUUUACCAAAAACAUAACUGCAUGAAAUAUUAUGCAGCUUUUUCUGCUCCAUGAGACGUUAAAUAGCCGCAGUACCCUGACUGUGCAAAGGUAGCAUAAUCAAUUGGCUUCUAAUUAAAGUCUGGCAUGAACGAAUGCAUGGGUAGUGACUGUCUUGGGAGUGUUGUUAUGAAAUUAUUUAGUCGGUGCAAAUGCUGACGAGAGUAAGAAAGACGAGAAGACCCUAGAAACUUAAAGUUACUUUUGCUGGGGCGGCAGAAUUGCACAUAACCAAUUUUAUUUUACGUGAAGCAACGCAGGAAGAAAAAGUUACUCUAGGGAUAACAGCAUAAUUUAAAUAGUUUGUGACCUCGAUGUUGGACUAGGGAAAUUACGCCUUAGAAGGGAGUAAUAAUGGCUCUGUUCGAGCCGUAAACCCCUACAUGAUCUGAGUUCAGACCGG
This 822-nucleotide ribosomal RNA is filed under the name Codringtonia parnassia. RNAcentral's name for it is "partial large subunit ribosomal RNA". It matches the Rfam family "Archaeal large subunit ribosomal RNA", at positions 1510 to 2688 of the family's 2987-position model. Lineage: Eukaryota; Metazoa; Mollusca; Gastropoda; Stylommatophora; Helicidae. The record is from RNAcentral.